RNAcentral lists this unclassified non-coding RNA (358 nucleotides) under soil metagenome. Its description in RNAcentral is "partial contains 5.8S ribosomal RNA, internal transcribed spacer 2, and large subunit ribosomal RNA". The stretch from base 1 to 120 matches the Rfam family "5.8S ribosomal RNA", at positions 35 to 154 of the family's 154-position model. The record is from RNAcentral.
GAUGAAGAACGCAGCGAAACGCGAUAGUUAAUGUGAAUUGCAGAAUUCAGUGAAUCAUCGAGUCUUUGAACGCACAUUGCGCCCCCUGGUAUUCCGGGGGGCAUGCCUGUCCGAGCGUCAUUGCUGCCCAUCAAGCGCGGCUUGUGUGUUGGGCCGCCGUCCGCCUUCCCCCCCGGGGGGAGGGGGACGGGCCCGAAAGGCAGCGGCGGCACCGCGUCCGGUCCUCGAGCGUAUGGGGCUUUGUCACCCGCUCUGUAGGCCCGGCCGGCGCUUGCCGAUCAACCAAAACUUUUUUCCAGGUUGACCUCGGAUCAGGUAGGGAUACCCGCUGAACUUAAGCAUAUCAAUAAGCGGAGGA